This 2928-nucleotide ribosomal RNA is filed under the name Capsicum annuum. Its description in RNAcentral is "eukaryotic LSU rRNA". The stretch from base 388 to 2919 matches the Rfam family "Eukaryotic large subunit ribosomal RNA". The record is from RNAcentral. Lineage: Eukaryota; Viridiplantae; Streptophyta; Magnoliopsida; Solanales; Solanaceae.
AUGACUCUCGGCAACAGAUAUCUCAACUCUCGCAUCGAUGAAGAACAUAGCAAAAUACGAUACUUAGUAUGAAUUGUAGAAUCCCAUGAAUCGUAGAGUAUUUGAACACAAGUUGUGCCCGAAGAUAUUAGGCCGAGGGCACGUCUGCCUGGGCAUCAUGCAUUGCGUCGCCCCCUCGUAUCGUGCCGCAAUGACGGGGCUCGGUCUUGUUGUGGGGCGGAUACUGGCCUCCCGUGCACCUCGAGGUCGUGGCUGGCCUAAAUAUGAGUCCACAUCAAUGGAUGUCACAGAAAGUGGUGGUUGUAUCUCAACUGUCUUUGUUGUCACGGCGAUAGCCCAUCGCGCGUUCGGACUCCAGGACCCUUUUGCGCUUAGGCACUCCGAACGCGACCCCAGGUCAGGCAGGAUUAUCUACUGAGUUUAAGUAUAUCAAUAAGUGGAGGAAAAUAAACUUACAAGGAUUCCCUUAGUAACGGCGAGUGAACUGGGAAUAGCCCAGCCUUAGAAUUGGGCGGAUCCAUCAUCCAAAUUGUAGUUUGGAGAAGCGUCCUCAAUGGGGGACUAGACCCAAGUCCCCUGGAAGGGGGCACCAGAGAGGGUAAGAUCCCCACUGUGCCAGGACCCUAUCGUACCACGGGGCACUGUCUAUGAGUCGGGUUGUUUGAGAAUGCAUCCCAAAUCAGGCGGUGAAUUCCGUCCAAGCCUAAAUACGGGCUACAAAUCGAUAGUGAACAAGUACCGCGAGGGAAAGAUGAAAAAGACUUUGAAAAGAGAGUCAAAGAGUGCUUAAAAUUAUCGUGAGGGAAGCGGAUGGGGGCCGAGGAUGUGCCUCGAUCGGAUGUGGAAUGGCAAUGAUCCAGUCUAUCGAUCGACUCGGGGCAUGGAAGAGCGUUGAUUGGGGGCGUCCAAAGACCGGGCUCUCGAUACACUUGUGGAACGCCGUCUCUUCAAUUGUGGAAAGCAGCGCACGCCUCCGGUGUGCUUCGGUAUCUUCACGCUACGGACGCUGGUCUGUGGCUUCCCAUUCGACCCGUCUUGAAAACCAGACCAAGGAGUCUGACAUGUAUGAGAGUCAACAGGCGAGUAAACCCGUAUGGCGUAAGGAAGCUGAUUGGUGGUAUCCCCUCGAGGGGUGCACCACCGACGGACCUUGAUCUUCUGAGAAGGGUCCAAGUGUGAGCAUACCUAUCGGGACCCAAAAGAUGGUGAACUAUGCCUGAGCGGGGUGAAGCCAGAGAAAACUCUGGUGGAGGCCCGUAGUGAUACUGACAUGCAAAUCAUUCGUCUGACUUGGGUGUAGGGCCCGCGGCUGCUUUAUCUAGCCGUACCACGGAAUCAAGAGCUCCAAGUAGGCUAUUUUUUAUAAGCAGAACUGGGGAUGCGGGAUGAACCAACAGUCAGGUUACGGUGCCAAACUGCGCGCUAACCUAGAUCCCAUAAAGGGUGUUGGUCGGUGGUCAUGGAAGUCAAAAUCUGCUAAGGAGUGUGUAAGAACUCACCUGUCAAAUAAACUAGCCCCAAAAAUGGAUGGAGCUUAAGAGCGUGACCUACACCCGACCGUCGGGGAAAGUUUCAGGCCCCGAUGAGUAGGAGGGCGCAGCGGUCGCCGCAAAACCUUGGGCGCAAGCCCAGGCAGGAAAGGUACGGACAAGGAGAAUCCGACUAUUUAAUUAAAACAAAGCAUUGCGAUUGUCCCAACGGAUGUUCACGCAUUGUGAUUUCUGCUCAGUGCUAUGAAUGUCAAAGUGAAGAAAUUCAACCAAGCGCAGGUAAACAGCGGGAGUAACUAUGACUCUCUUAAGGUUGCCAAAUGCCUCGUCAUCUAAUUAGUGACGCGCAUGAGUGGAUUAACGAGAUUCCCACUACCCCUAUCUACUAUUCAGUGAAACCACAGCCAGGGGAACGGUCUUGGCAGAAUCAGCAGGGAAAGAAGACCCUCUUGAGCUUGACUAUACUCCGACUUUGUGAACUGACUUGAGAGGUGUAGUAUAAGUGGUAGCCGAAAUGAGAAAGUUAAAUACCACUACUUUUAACGUUAUUUUACUUGUUUCUUGAAUCAAAAGUGGGGCACUGCCCCUCUUUUUGGACCCAAGGCUCACUCUGCGGGCCGAUCUGGGCAGAAAACAUUGUCAGGUGGAGAUUUUGGCUGGGGCGGCACAUCUGUUAAAAGAUAACGCAGGUGUCCUAAGAUGAUCUCAAUGAGAAUAGAAAUAUCGUGUGGAACAGAAGGGUAAAAGCUCAUUUGAUGCUGAUUUCCAGUACGAUUAUGAACCAUGAAAGCGUGGCCUAACGAUCCAUUAGACCUUCGGAAUUCGAAGCUACAGGUGUCAGAAAAGUGUUACCAGAGGGAUAAUUGGCCUGUUGCAGCCAAUCGUUUAUAGCGACGUUGCUUUUUCUUCCUUUGAUGUCGGCUCUUCCUAUCAUUGUAAAGCAGAAUUCACCAAGUGUUGGGCUGUUCACCCACCAAUAGGGAAUGUGAGCUGGGUAUAGACCGUCGUGAGACAGGUUAGUUUUACCCUAGUUAUGACAGUGUCGCAGUAGUAAUUAAACCUAGUACGAGAGAAAACGUUGAUUCACACAAUUUGUCAUCGCACUUGGUUGAAAAGCGUGUGGUGCAAAGCAACCGUGUGCUGGAUUAUGACUGAAUACCUCUAAGUUAGAAUCCAGGCUAGAAAUGAUGCAUGUGCCCGCUGUCCGCUUGCCGAUCCGCUGUAGGGGCCUCGGCCCCCAAGGAAAUGUGUCAUUUUCUAAGACACCACGGCAGAAGAGUCAUGGUGGCCGCCUUGAAGUAUAAUUUCCACUAAGCGGCGGGUAGAAUCCUUUGUGGACGACUUAAAUAUGUGAUGGGGUAUUGUAAGUGGAAAAGUGGCCUUGCUGCUACGAUCCACUGAGAUUCAUUCCUUUGUUUCUUUAGUUCGUCUCUCCCCA